CCCUAGCCUUGAUUGCAGCGGGCAUCCUUUUGGGUGGAGGCCGGAGCAUAAACUGAAGGUUUACGAACCUAGUUCAGGAGACCGUCACCCAAAAGAUACAGCGGAAAGCAAGAUCAAGC
Molecule: small RNA, 119 nt
Filed under: Chryseobacterium taeanense
Lineage: Bacteria; Pseudomonadati; Bacteroidota; Flavobacteriia; Flavobacteriales; Weeksellaceae
Description: Flavo-1 RNA
Rfam family: Flavo-1 RNA
Source: RNAcentral